This 564-nucleotide ribosomal RNA is filed under the name Triticum aestivum (bread wheat). RNAcentral's name for it is "partial small subunit ribosomal RNA". Lineage: Eukaryota; Viridiplantae; Streptophyta; Magnoliopsida; Poales; Poaceae. The record is from RNAcentral.
AUGCCUACGCAGCUCGACCAAGUUUUUCACCUACCCGCCGUUGAAACAGCGGGUGGCAACAUCUCCGCUGUCAAUACUGCCUCUUUCCAAGUAAUCUCCUUCAACCACCUCACCUUCUCGUCAACAUUGAUUUUGCGAUCCAAUGCAAGUGACCGCAACAUAGCCAUCACCAACAUCUAUGCCCCCUCCUCCCGCGCCCUCAAGCAAUCUUUCCUCGAUGAGUUGCUCGCUAUCUCACAACCAGACGACUCACCCUGGCUACUUGUGGGAGAUUUCAACCUCCUCCGGUACCCCUCCGACAAAAAUAAUGACGCGUUUAGACAAUCCGAAGCCACUGCUUUUAACCGAACUCUUGAUGAACUCACCCUCAUUGAACUACCACUUCUUGACCGCCAAUACACUUGGUCCAAUAAUAGAACAACACCCACCCUAGAACAUAUCGACCGUGCCUUUUUUAACUUAGCCUGGUCAGACGCCUUUCCAAACUCUUCCCUCUCCUCCCUCACGCGAUUCACAUACGACCACGUACCCCUCCUCAUUCACGUCACGACAACGAUCCUGUGA